RNAcentral lists this long non-coding RNA (333 nucleotides) under Glycine max (soybean). RNAcentral's name for it is "long non-coding RNA (GMAX_LNC004060)". The record is from RNAcentral. Lineage: Eukaryota; Viridiplantae; Streptophyta; Magnoliopsida; Fabales; Fabaceae.
UCACUGUCACCAGGGAUACCUCUGGUGAGGUUCUUGGCAGGGGUACUAAGAUCACUCUCUUCCUCAAGGAGGAUCAGCUAGAGUACCUUGAGGAGCGCCGGUUGAAGGAUUUGAUUAAGAAGCAUUCUGAGUUCAUUAGCUACCCAAUUUCUCUUUGGGUUGAGAAGACUACCGAGAAGGAGAUUUCUGACGAUGAGGAUGAGGAAGAGAAGAAGGAUGAGGAGGGUAAGGUGGAGGAUGUUGAUGAGGAGAAGGAGAAGGAAGAAAAAAAGAAAAAGAAGAUCAAGGAAGUGUCACAUGAAUGGUCCUUGGUGAACAAGCAGAAGCCCAUUU